GUAAAAAACUAAAUUUACAUUUAUAAAAAUAUUAUUUAAUUAUACAUGUUUUAUCUUUUUAUGGAACUGAUUUGUAACAAAUAUGUAUUCAUAAACAUCAAGUGUUCAUUAAUCAUUAUAAAGUGAUAGUUCAUGUACGAUCCUUGAGGUCAAGUAACGUCAAUGGCGGCUGACAAUUAGAUGGGUGAUUGUUUUUCCAAUUGUAAAAGUUAAGCAAUGUUAUAAAUAAGGUGUAACUAUUAUAGGAUUUAGGUGAUUGCGGUAUGUAGUACACCAUUGUGGUGGAAGAUUUUUGCAAUGUGGAUGCAAGUACUGAACGGCACUUGUAUCCAAAAGAUUUUCUAAAAUAUUUUUGUUUCUAAUAUUUUAUAUAGAUAUGUUUCAGAAAUAUUGUUGAAAUCUUUCAGCAAGGUCGCAUUUUGUUUGAAAUAGUGGAUAUUGAAACAUUACAGAAAUGUUGUAGAAAUGCAAAAUUUCUGUGAUAUUAUUGUAAAAGUAAUAUUUCAAAUAAAAUGUUUUAGAAAUAUUUACAUGUCAUGUUACAUGUCAAGUGAGAUUGGAGAAAGGAAGAAAAAUGAGGAAAGAAUAGUAGAUUUUAGGCAGGUUUAAGUAUGUUUGUUUGUAUUGGGUUAUAUUAUGUUUAAUUAGGAUAGGUAAAAUUAGGUAAGAUUAGUAAAGUUAUCAAAUAUACAAAAAAGAUAAGAAUAAUAAGAAUUAGUGAUGAUGUAGUCCGAAGUGUCGACUUGACCCCAAAGUCUCCCCGCUGUGGGUCCAGUAGUUUCGGAGUUACGCCUUGAAGUAACUCCUUGUCAAAAACAAAAGUUACAAGGUUGCAGUUUGGAAGAUACAGGGCAAUCUGAUGCAGAAAACGGCCAGGAAAAAUUUGGAAAUGGGCUGAAUUGGUUCUGUGUCUUUUAGACUCUAAAUCAGGAUUGAAAAGAACUCUAAAGUUUAGAGUAUCCCUAGUGCGUCCUGACACCCGCAUCCCUUUUCAAUCCUGAUUCGCCACGUCUUCGUUCUAACAGUGGAGACAGUUUUGCAUCGCGUCUGUUUAUCCGAGGAUAACUCUGUCACGCUUGGUUUUAAAACCGUUAAAUGUCGAAGGUCUUAUCCUUCUAUGAUCUUUACCACCCCGUGAGUGUGGAUUGAACAACCACCCCUAACACCUUUUAUAAUCAGCCAGUCGCAGUUACGCCAAGCUAUAGGUGAUCGCUUCAAGGCACGACUUGCAUUCGAGACUAAAAGAUCCUUGUUCGAACACAAAGAGGCGAUGAAAACAAGAUGGCUGAAGAAAGAACAAGGAUUUUUUUGGUUUCAAAUGCAAGUCGUGCCCUGAAGCGAUCACCUGUAACCUGGCGCAAUUGCGACUUGUUGUCCGAUUAAAGAAGUAGCAGGGAAUUACUUCGAAGGGCAUAAAUUCAAAACUACUGGACCCACAGCGGGGAGACUUUGCAGAAGUCAAGUUGACAAUUCGGACUACGUCAUAUAAAAAAGUCAGAUUUUUAGCUCAACUUUUACAAACUUGGCGCUAUUUCAAACUUUUGUUUCUUUAAUCUUGUCCAGUAGUUUAUCUUAAGUUUUUAUUCAAAUUUUAUCAAAUAUUUUGAAAUUUAAAUUUUUAAUACUUUUCUAUUAUUCCAUUUUGGAAAUAUUUGAUUUAGAUUUACCACAUCCAAAAAUAUAAGAAAACAUGCAUUUAAAAAGGUUUUAUCAUUGGGAUGAUAGAAAAUUCUAUUAUUUUACCCAUCCUCCUUUUAAAUCUUAUAAUUUCCACAUUUUUAUCCAGACUUUUAAAAAUAGUAUUAUUACAUAGUUUUAUAAAUUCAAACUCUAUUAAUAGUGAACUUUUCAAAUUCGCAAGAUUCCUAAAUUUUAACUCUAGGCCGCAAUUGAAUUCACGUUGAAAACGUUAUUGGCAUUAUUCUAUCCUUGUUUACUAAUUGCAAGAUAGAACGAUAAAAAUGGAAUGAUACCAAUAACGCUUUCAACAUGAAUCGAACCACAGCCCUCAUAUUCAUACUUAAGAUACAAUAUCCUUAAACUGUCAUGAUUUUGGUCAACAAUUUUGAUUAAAAAUCACAAUUUCUAUACUAUUAUAAUUUCUUAAAAAAUAAUAACUCUAAUUUGGUGGAUUUAACCUAACUGGCAAUUUUUAUUAUGGGUAUCGAUUAAAUUGUUGAGUACAAUGUUUCGACCUCGAUUAGGUCCUUUUUAAGUACAAAUUGAUAAAAAUUUUCAAAGAAACAUUGUAGUCAAUGCACUUGUCGCCGCAAGUCAUGGAUUAUACACUAGGUAAAUGGAUAAACAAUUGAAUAAUAAACGAAUAAUUGAAUAAAAUAUAAUAGAUUUGAAACUAAGUAAAGAACAAUUAAAAAUACACAUGUUUCGUACAUCGGAUGUUAACAAGUCAAAAUACAAAAAACAACAUGUGAAAAUUUGAAUCAAUAUAAAUUACAAAUGUAAAAAAAACGAAUAUGGUGAGUCAUUAUAUAAAAUACAACGUAUAAGAAUUGGAGUCAAUAUAAAUUAAAAGUGUAAAAAAAAGGGAAAAAUAUAUUGAUAGGUUUGCACAGUUCUGGAUACAAAAAGAGACUGAGAUGUAGCGGACGCGUGAAGGGUAAAUAGACCAAGAAUGAUUAUACAGAUUUUAUAAUGUUAUUGUAUAUGGGAUUCAAGUUUUCUGUAUUUUUUUGUAAGUUAAGAUCAUUAGUAUUCUGUUUAAUGAAAAACAUUUCCGCUAUUUUACGUUUUUUUUGUAUGUUUCUCGUUAUAUAAGAUCUUUGAAGAAGACCAAUUAAAUUGA
This 2803-nucleotide long non-coding RNA is filed under the name Monomorium pharaonis (pharaoh ant). RNAcentral's name for it is "uncharacterized LOC114255622". Lineage: Eukaryota; Metazoa; Arthropoda; Insecta; Hymenoptera; Formicidae. The record is from RNAcentral.